This 46-nucleotide non-coding RNA is filed under the name unclassified sequences. RNAcentral describes it as "eL15-Euryarchaeota ribosomal protein leader". It matches the Rfam family "eL15-Euryarchaeota ribosomal protein leader". The record is from RNAcentral.
GCGGAGUAAAUCCGCUGGGAUGUAACCGAAAAGGUUGAACCGUAAA